Molecule: ribosomal RNA, 1541 nt
Filed under: Shigella sonnei
Lineage: Bacteria; Pseudomonadati; Pseudomonadota; Gammaproteobacteria; Enterobacterales; Enterobacteriaceae
Description: bacterial SSU rRNA
Rfam family: Bacterial small subunit ribosomal RNA
Source: RNAcentral
AAAUUGAAGAGUUUGAUCAUGGCUCAGAUUGAACGCUGGCGGCAGGCCUAACACAUGCAAGUCGAACGGUAACAGGAAGCAGCUUGCUGCUUCGCUGACGAGUGGCGGACGGGUGAGUAAUGUCUGGGAAACUGCCUGAUGGAGGGGGAUAACUACUGGAAACGGUAGCUAAUACCGCAUAAUGUCGCAAGACCAAAGAGGGGGACCUUCGGGCCUCUUGCCAUCGGAUGUGCCCAGAUGGGAUUAGCUUGUUGGUGGGGUAACGGCUCACCAAGGCGACGAUCCCUAGCUGGUCUGAGAGGAUGACCAGCCACACUGGAACUGAGACACGGUCCAGACUCCUACGGGAGGCAGCAGUGGGGAAUAUUGCACAAUGGGCGCAAGCCUGAUGCAGCCAUGCCGCGUGUAUGAAGAAGGCCUUCGGGUUGUAAAGUACUUUCAGCGGGGAGGAAGGGAGUAAAGUUAAUACCUUUGCUCAUUGACGUUACCCGCAGAAGAAGCACCGGCUAACUCCGUGCCAGCAGCCGCGGUAAUACGGAGGGUGCAAGCGUUAAUCGGAAUUACUGGGCGUAAAGCGCACGCAGGCGGUUUGUUAAGUCAGAUGUGAAAUCCCCGGGCUCAACCUGGGAACUGCAUCUGAUACUGGCAAGCUUGAGUCUCGUAGAGGGGGGUAGAAUUCCAGGUGUAGCGGUGAAAUGCGUAGAGAUCUGGAGGAAUACCGGUGGCGAAGGCGGCCCCCUGGACGAAGACUGACGCUCAGGUGCGAAAGCGUGGGGAGCAAACAGGAUUAGAUACCCUGGUAGUCCACGCCGUAAACGAUGUCGACUUGGAGGUUGUGCCCUUGAGGCGUGGCUUCCGGAGCUAACGCGUUAAGUCGACCGCCUGGGGAGUACGGCCGCAAGGUUAAAACUCAAAUGAAUUGACGGGGGCCCGCACAAGCGGUGGAGCAUGUGGUUUAAUUCGAUGCAACGCGAAGAACCUUACCUGGUCUUGACAUCCACAGAACUUUCCAGAGAUGGAUUGGUGCCUUCGGGAACUGUGAGACAGGUGCUGCAUGGCUGUCGUCAGCUCGUGUUGUGAAAUGUUGGGUUAAGUCCCGCAACGAGCGCAACCCUUAUCCUUUGUUGCCAGCGGUCCGGCCGGGAACUCAAAGGAGACUGCCAGUGAUAAACUGGAGGAAGGUGGGGAUGACGUCAAGUCAUCAUGGCCCUUACGACCAGGGCUACACACGUGCUACAAUGGCGCAUACAAAGAGAAGCGACCUCGCGAGAGCAAGCGGACCUCAUAAAGUGCGUCGUAGUCCGGAUUGAGUCUGCAACUCGACUCCAUGAAGUCGGAAUCGCUAGUAAUCGUGGAUCAGAAUGCCACGGUGAAUACGUUCCCGGGCCUUGUACACACCGCCCGUCACACCAUGGGAGUGGGUUGCAAAAGAAGUAGGUAGCUUAACCUUCGGGAGGGCGCUUACCACUUUGUGAUUCAUGACUGGGGUGAAGUCGUAACAAGGUAACCGUAGGGGAACCUGCGGUUGGAUCACCUCCUUA